CGGCGUGCUUAACACAUGCAAGUCGAACGGUGAAAGAGAGCUUGCUCUCUGGAUCAGUGGCGAACGGGUGAGUAACACGUGAGCAAUCUGCCCCUGACUCUGGGAUAAGCGCUGGAAACGGCGUCUAAUACCGGAUACGAGCUGCGAAGGCAUCUUCAGCAGCUGGAAAGAACUUCGGUCAGGGAUGAGCUCGCGGCCUAUCAGCUAGUUGGUGAGGUAACGGCUCACCAAGGCGUCGACGGGUAGCCGGCCUGAGAGGGUGACCGGCCACACUGGGACUGAGACACGGCCCAGACUCCUACGGGAGGCAGCAGUGGGGAAUAUUGCACAAUGGGCGAAAGCCUGAUGCAGCAACGCCGCGUGAGGGACGACGGCCUUCGGGUUGUAAACCUCUUUUAGCAGGGAAGAAGCGAAAGUGACGGUACCUGCAGAAAAAGCACCGGCUAACUACGUGCCAGCAGCCGCGGUAAUACGUAGGGUGCAAGCGUUAUCCGGAAUUAUUGGGCGUAAAGAGCUCGUAGGCGGUUUGUCGCGUCUGCUGUGAAAACCCGAGGCUCAACCUCGGGCCUGCAGUGGGUACGGGCAGACUAGAGUGCGGUAGGGGAGAUUGGAAUUCCUGGUGUAGCGGUGGAAUGCGCAGAUAUCAGGAGGAACACCGAUGGCGAAGGCAGAUCUCUGGGCCGUAACUGACGCUGAGGAGCGAAAGGGUGGGGAGCAAACAGGCUUAGAUACCCUGGUAGUCCACCCCGUAAACGUUGGGAACUAGUUG
Molecule: ribosomal RNA, 769 nt
Filed under: Microbacterium sp.
Lineage: Bacteria; Bacillati; Actinomycetota; Actinomycetes; Micrococcales; Microbacteriaceae
Description: bacterial SSU rRNA
Rfam family: Bacterial small subunit ribosomal RNA
Source: RNAcentral